RNAcentral lists this ribosomal RNA (468 nucleotides) under uncultured bacterium. RNAcentral describes it as "partial 16S ribosomal RNA". It matches the Rfam family "Bacterial small subunit ribosomal RNA", at positions 28 to 507 of the family's 1533-position model. The record is from RNAcentral.
GACGAACGCUGGCGGCGUGCUUAACACAUGCAAGUCGAACGGAAAGGCCCUGCUUUUGUGGGGUGCUCGAGUGGCGAACGGGUGAGUAACACGUGAGUAACCUGCCCUUGACUGUGGGAUAACUUCAGGAAACUGGGGCUAAUACCGGAUAGGAGCUCCUGCUGCAUGGUGGGGGUUGGAAAGUUUCGGCGGUUGGGGAUGGACUCGCGGCUUAUCAGCUUGUUGGUGGGGUAGUGGCUUACCAAGGCUUUGACGGGUAGCCGGCCUGAGAGGGUGAACGGCCACAUUGGGACUGAGAUACGGACCAGACUCCUACGGGAGGCAGCAGUGGAGAAUAUUGCAGAAUGGGCGGAAGUCUGAUGCAGCAACGCCGCGUGCGGGAUGACGGCCUUCGGGUUGUAAACCGCUUUCGACUGUGACGAAGCGUGAGUGACGGUAAUGGGUAAAGAAGCACCGGCUAACUACGUG